UGAAUACGAGACGCUAAGGCGUCGAAGUAGUGUAUGUCAUACUUCCAAGAAAAGCUUGCACUGUCAUAGAUAAAAAACGCCUGUACCAUAACCGACACAGGUGGGUAGGUAGAGUAUACUAAGGGGCGCGAGAUAACUCUCUCUAAGGAACUCGGCAAAAUAACUCCGUAACUUCGGGAGAAGGAGUGCCUUAUUCGUAAGGUUGCAAUAACAAGAUCCAAGCAACUGUUUAUCAAAAACACAGGUCUCCGCUAAGUCGUAAGACGAUGUAUGGGGGCUGACGCCUGCCCAGUGCCAGAAGGUUAAAGAAGUUGGUUAGCAAUUGCGAAGCUGAUAACUGAAGCCCUGGUGAACGGCGGCCGUAACAAUAACGGUCCUAAGGUAGCGAAAUUCCUUGUCGGGUAAGUUCCGACCCGCACGAAAGGCGUAAUGAUUUGGAUACUGUCUCGGAGAGGGGCUCGGUGAAAUAGACUUGUCUGUGAAGAUGCGGAUUACCUGCACCAGGACAGAAAGACCCUAUGAAGCUUUACUGUAACUUGAAAUUGAAAUUCGACUUUAUUCGCGCAGUAUAGGUGGGAGGCGUUGAUUAUAAUCUUGUGGGAUUAUUGGAGCCAUCGGUGAGAUACCACUCUUGUAAUGUUAGAUUUCUAACUUUGAAUCAUUAUCUGGUCAAAGAACAGUUUCAGGCGGGCAGUUUGACUGGGGCGGUCGCCUCCUAAACGGUAACGGAGGCGUACAAAGGUUUCCUCUGAACGGUUAGAAAUCGUAUCUAGAGUGUAAAGGCAUAAGGAAGCUUGACUGUGAGACCUACAAGUCGAGCAGGGACGAAAGUCGGUCUUAGUGAUCUGACGGUACUGAGUGGAAAGGCCGUCACUCAACGGAUAAAAGUUACUCUAGGAUAACAGGCUGAUCUCCCCCAAGAGUUCACAUCGACGGGGAGGUUUGGCACCUGGAUGUCGGCUCAUCGCAUCCUGGGGCGGUAGUACGUCCCAAGGGUUGGGCUGUUCGCCCAUGAAAGCGGUACGCGAGCUGGGUUCAGAACGUCGUGAGACAGUUCGGUCCAUAUCCGGUGUAGGCGUUAGAAUAUUGAGAGGAGCCUUCUUUAGUACGAGAGGACCGAGAAGGACAUACCUCUGGUGUACCAGUUAUCGUGCCAACGGUAAACGCUGGGUAGCUAUGUAUGGAGUGGAUAACCGCUGAAAGCAUCUAAGUGGGAAGCCCACCUCAAGAUAAG
This 1234-nucleotide ribosomal RNA is filed under the name metagenome. RNAcentral describes it as "bacterial LSU rRNA". It matches the Rfam family "Bacterial large subunit ribosomal RNA", at positions 1564 to 2808 of the family's 2925-position model. The record is from RNAcentral.